UACGGAGGGUGCAAGCGUUAAUCGGAAUUACUGGGCGUAAAGCGUGCGCAGGCGGUUUGUUAAGUCUGUUGUGAAAUCCCGAGCUCAACUUGGGAAUUGCAAUGGAUACUGGCAGGCUGGAGUAUGGUAGAGGAAGGUGGAAUUCCCGGUGUAGCAGUGAAAUGCGUAGAGAUCGGGAGGAACACCAGUGGCGAAGGCGGCCUUCUGGACCAAUACUGACGAUCAGGUGCGAAAGCGUGGGGAGCAAACAGG
This 252-nucleotide ribosomal RNA is filed under the name uncultured bacterium. RNAcentral describes it as "partial 16S ribosomal RNA". It matches the Rfam family "Bacterial small subunit ribosomal RNA", at positions 524 to 776 of the family's 1533-position model. The record is from RNAcentral.